This 301-nucleotide ribosomal RNA is filed under the name uncultured bacterium. Its description in RNAcentral is "partial 16S ribosomal RNA". It matches the Rfam family "Bacterial small subunit ribosomal RNA", at positions 509 to 807 of the family's 1533-position model. The record is from RNAcentral.
CAGCAGCCGCGGGAACACGAAGGGUGCAAGCGUUACUCGGAAUUACUGGGCGUAAAGCGUGCGUAGGUGGUGGUUUAAGUCCGUUGUGAAAGCCCUGGGCUCAACCUGGGAAUUGCAGUGGAUACUGGGUCACUAGAGUGUGGUAGAGGAUAGUGGAAUUUCCGGUGUAGCAGUGAAAUGCGUAGAGAUCGGAAGGAACAGCUGUGGCGAAGGCGACUAUCUGGGCCAACACUGACACUGAGGCACGAAAGCGUGGGGAGCAAACAGGAUUAGAUACCCCCGUAGUCCCUGUCUCUUAUAC